Molecule: ribosomal RNA, 524 nt
Filed under: uncultured bacterium
Lineage: Bacteria
Description: bacterial SSU rRNA
Rfam family: Bacterial small subunit ribosomal RNA
Source: RNAcentral
UGGGGAAUAUUGGACAAUGGGGGAAACCCUGAUCCAGCCAUGCCGCGUGCGUGAAGAAGGCCUCAGGGUUGUAAAGCGCUUUCGGCGGGGAAGAUGAUGACGGUACCCGCAGAAGAAGCCCCGGCUAACUCCGUGCCAGCAGCCGCGGUGAUACGGAGGGGGCAAGCGUUGUUCGGAAUUACUGGGCGUAAAGGGCGCGUAGGCGGGCGAUCAAGUCAGGGGUGAAAGGCCUGGGCUUAACCUGGGAACUGCCUUUGAAACUGAUUGUCUUGAGUCCGGAAGAGGAUGGCGGAAUUCCCAGUGUAGAGGUGAAAUUCGUAGAUAUUGGGAAGAACACCAGUGGCGAAGGCGGCCAUCUGGUCCGGUACUGACGCUGAGGCGCGAAAGCGUGGGGAGCAAACAGGAUUAGAUACCCUGGUAGUCCACGCCGUAAACGAUGUGUGCUAGCCGUUGGGGAACCUAGUUUCUCGGUGGCGCAGCUAACGCGUUAAGCACACCGCCUGGGGAGUACGGUCGCAAGAUUA